Piliocolobus tephrosceles (Ugandan red Colobus) is the source of this 2475-nucleotide RNA transcript. It is a transcript of the gene named butyrophilin-like protein 9 pseudogene, with no coding region annotated. NCBI's taxonomy places the organism in Eukaryota, Metazoa, Chordata, Mammalia, Primates, Cercopithecidae. The record is from RefSeq and is a predicted model, not a curated record. The transcript has a single exon.
ACAACGUGUCACUUCAGUCCUGGGGAGGGGGUUUGCAGGGGUGAGGGUCGCAGUAAGGAGUUCAUUUCACUGAUUAUUCCACCAAGAGAAACUAGAGGUUUGUCUGUCUUGGGGAAGAGACGGACGGCCCCAGACCGUCCUGGGCGGGCACUAACGCUGCGGCUCUGCGCAGUGGAUGUGACUCUGGAUGCGGCCUCCGCGCACCCCAGCCUGGAAGUGUCGGAGGAUGGCAAGAGCGUGUCUUCCCGCCGGGCGCCGCCAGGCCCGGCGCUUAACGACCCGCAGCGGUUCUCGGAGCAGACGUGCGCGCUGAGCCUGGAGCGAUUCUCCGCGGGCCGCCACUACUGGGAGGUGCACGUGGGCCGCCGCAGCCGCUGGUUCCUGGGCGCCUGCCUGGCCGCGGUGCCGCGCGCGGGGCCUGUGCGCCUGAGCCCGGCGACCGGCUACUGGGUGCUGGGGCUGUGGAACGGCUGCGAGUACUUCGUCCUGGCCCCGCACCGCGUCGCGCUCACCCUGCGCGUGCCUCCGCGGCGCCUGGGCGUCUUCCUGGACUGCGAGGCGGGAAAGCUGUCCUUCUUCAACGUGUCAGACGGCUCCCACAUCUUCACCUUCCACGACACCUUCUCGGACGCGCUGUGUGCCUACUUCAGGCCCAGGGCCCACGACGGCGGCGAACGUCCGGAUCCCCUGACCAUCUGUCCGCUGCGGGUUAGAGGGACGUGCGUCCCCGAAGAGAACGACAGUGACACCUGGCUGCAGCCCUAUGAGCCCGCGGACCCCGCCCUGGACUGGUGGUGAGGCGCCCUCUUGGCCGCAGGACUGGCCUGGGAGGCUCCCUGGAUCCCAGGCCCUUGCUUUGCUCUCCUGCUCCCUCUGAAGUGAGCAGGUGCACCAGCCAAAAUGUCAGCCAGGGGGACAAAGAGGGGGACCUUUGCCUACGUAGAUGCGUAUGUGUAAUGCGAUUUUCUUCAAGGAAAGGAGACAAGUCCAAAACUCGUAUGUGGAUUGUGGGACUGAGCGAAUGAGUACAAAGACAUCCAUGUCGCUGAGAGCCGGGGCUGCCUACGGUGGGCGGUGGGAAAGAAGCCAGCGUGGAAGAAAGAAGGGAGAAAGCUUUGGUGACUGCAUUAGAGGGAUCAGUUAAUUUGUAUCGUUUUAUAUUUUUUGUAUAUGUUUGCUAGCUCUAAAAAAGCCGAGACGCAAUGACACUUCGUAAGCAAUGAGUUCACCUAAGUAAGCCUCAGAUCCUAGUUUUAAAUAGCAUUUCCCAUUAAAAUGAAGUUGAAGAAACAGCUGCUUCUGGGGCUGGGACAAAAAUUUCAAGGUGAGCCUGGAGCGUUGUGUGUGGUAAAGUAAAAUAAACGCUCAAAACGUGACGGCAACAUGGCAAAAGGGUAGAGGCGCCAGGUUGAAGGGACCUCACUGACCAAUUGUGGGACAAUUUGAACAUCAGGAUGAAUAAUGACAGGAGAGAUGAUAACACAUUGAAUAAAAACAUAAUCCAUGAGUUCAUGCUGAUUCUCAAAUUUCUUUUUAAAAAGAAGAAACAGGAAGGUUUCUUUUAGAGGUGAAAUCUAAUUACUGGUGAGAGUCUUUUGGAGAACAGGGUAUUUUCAGUCUCAAAGCAGUGACCUUAUACACUACUUAUAAAUUUGAAAGGGGAAAUUUCAAAUGGAAAUUUACUUUACAAUGUAGAGGUCUGCCAGAUCAUCCAAGUGAUUAAAUUUAACACCAUCAGUGAUGGCACCAAGGACAUCAUUAGUUUGACAAUUGGGGAAAAUGAAACACGAACAGGAUAUCACUGGAGAAGUGUUCUUCACCCCCUACCCCCCAGAGAGUCUCGCUGUCGGCCAGGCUGGGGUGCAGCCUCAACCUCCUGAGCCCAAGUGAUCCUCCCACCUCCGCACACAACACCAUGCCCAGCUAAUUUUAAAUUUGUUAUGGAGACGGGGUCUCACUUUGUUACCCAGGCUGGUCUCAAACUCCUCACUCAAGCAAUCCUCCCACCUGGGCCUCCCCAAAUGCUGGGUGUACAGGCAUGAGCCACUGUGCCCGGCCUCAUUUUCAGAGUGAGGCAUUUGUACUGUGGCUAUGUAGGAGAGUAUUCUUGUUCUUAACAAACAUACUGAAGUUUUUUAGAUAUAAAUUACCACAGUGUCUGCCACUGAAUUUCCAGUGACUAAGUGGAAAAAUAUAAAACAUAUUAAUAUAAAGAAAGAGACAAGUCAAAUGUAGCAAAAUGACAACACUUGGUCAAUCUAGGUGACUAGUCGACAGAUAUUCAUUGCACUAUCAAUGCAGCUUUGCUGUGGGUUUGAAAUUUUACAAACUAAAAGAGUUGGGUGGCGGGGAGAAGGAUACACCAAAAAGCUUAGUGAUUACCUUUGGAUGGGAAAAUGGUUGGUAAUUGUAUUUUUUAAAUGUCUUCUUUGUAUUUUUUAAUGUUCAAUAAUGUAUAUGUAUCAGUUCUGUAAU